This is a long non-coding RNA of Oncorhynchus gorbuscha (pink salmon), 365 nucleotides long. RefSeq lists it as uncharacterized. The transcript is spliced from 5 exons. The record is from RefSeq and is a predicted model, not a curated record. Lineage: Eukaryota; Metazoa; Chordata; Actinopteri; Salmoniformes; Salmonidae.
CUGGCGCUCUCUCAACCAGCUUCAUGAGAACAGAGGUGUGAUGAGUCUGGAGGAUCUAUGUGACCAUGACAACGAGAAGUUCAAACAAAUCCACACUGACUACAGGGGGGUGAAGCUAUGGAAAAUCUCUCAUGGCAGGACUCAUGGCCCUCAAUAUACUGGAGAACUUUCCCAUCAAAGGAAUCAAAAAGAAAUGACCACAUAAGGCCACCUGUUAGUCUCAGUGAGGAUCUUGGGUUGACCCGUCUCGGCGUUCCACAACAAACAGCCAACCCUGGGUCUGCUCCAGAACCGGUGUAGCAACAUGGUGUAUCCGGAGGCAGAGUAUGUGAGUGGAGUGGAGCAAGGAGUGGAGCUGGAGCGAG